Molecule: long non-coding RNA, 754 nt
Organism: Talpa occidentalis (Iberian mole)
Lineage: Eukaryota; Metazoa; Chordata; Mammalia; Eulipotyphla; Talpidae
Exons: 6
Source: RefSeq, a predicted model, not a curated record
CCCGAAGGGGGGGCCCGGAGCGGGCUUGCGGCCGCGCUUCCGUUUUAACCGUCAAGCUUCGGUAGAGCCUGGUUGGGGACGGGGCCUCGGCCUGAUCUCAUCACGGCAGCUUCCGCAGGUCCAGGUGUGGCAGGAAGCAGCAUAUCAUGCACACGAUGAGAACCAGGAGUCCCGCCAAGCAGAUGAGGAUGAUGGCCCAGAAGGGGAUGCCUGCGGAGACAAGUACUGAAAGAAAGAGCCCCCAGGAAAAGCUCCGCUGUGGAAGUCGGACCCCCAUGCUAGCCUCCAGGAACACAGAGGCUUACCAUCGACAAGGACGCUGUUUCUGUCCAGGGUAAAAUUCCGCAAGUGGGUGCCGUUCUGGGGGACGGCGUAAGCAGCGCCUGUUGGGGGGUGCCCAGACCCUCCCCAGGGGGAUGUGCCGUCCCUGCAGGAGGUCAUCAAUGCACAUCUGGACAUGGCAGCAGCGUGCAAGCGGCCCCGAAGACCUGGAGCAACUACCAUCGGCCAGUUUCUGCUCAGUCCAGACAGCCUGGGCUGCAUGCUGCAAAUGGCUAAUUUAUGUCACUAGGGCCAUACAAAGAGUCUACACCUUUACAUCUCUACCUGUCUACGCACAUCUGAGAGGAUUGUGGGGAAGACGGGCAUACUUAGCUGCAGGGACCGGCGCGCUCUCCUCUCGCCCUCCUUCACCCUCUACAGUGAGAGGUCGGAAAGCAUUUUCUAAUUUGUCUUGUGUAAUAAAUACUUGCAU